UACAGAGGUCUCAAGCGUUGUUCGGAUUCAUUGGGCGUAAAGGGUGUGUAGGUGGCGCCGUAAGUCGGGUGUGAAAUUUCGGAGCUUAACUCCGAAACUGCAUUCGAUACUGCGGUGCUUGAGGACUGGAAAGGAGACUGGAAUUCAUGGUGUAGCAGUGAAAUGCGUAGAGAUCAUGAGGAAGACCAGUGGCGAAGGCGGGUCUCUGGACAGUUCCUGACGCUGAGGCACGAAGGCCAGGGGAGCAAACGGG
Molecule: ribosomal RNA, 253 nt
Filed under: uncultured bacterium
Lineage: Bacteria
Description: partial 16S ribosomal RNA
Rfam family: Bacterial small subunit ribosomal RNA
Source: RNAcentral